GUGGCUGUAGCUCAAUAGGUAGAGCACAGGAUUGUGAUUCCUGGUGUCGUGGGUUCGAUUCCCAUCAGCCACCCCA
RNAcentral lists this transfer RNA (76 nucleotides) under Gammaproteobacteria bacterium. RNAcentral describes it as "tRNA-His". It matches the Rfam family "tRNA". Rfam says of the family: Transfer RNA (tRNA) molecules are approximately 80 nucleotides in length. Their secondary structure includes four short double-helical elements and three loops (D, anti-codon, and T loops). Further hydrogen bonds mediate the characteristic L-shaped molecular structure. tRNAs have two regions of fundamental functional importance: the anti-codon, which is responsible for specific mRNA codon recognition, and the 3' end, to which the tRNAs corresponding amino acid is attached (by aminoacyl-tRNA synthetases). tRNAs cope with the degeneracy of the genetic code in two manners: having more than one tRNA (with a specific anti-codon) for a particular amino acid; and 'wobble' base-pairing, i.e. permitting non-standard base-pairing at the 3rd anti-codon position. The record is from RNAcentral. Lineage: Bacteria; Pseudomonadati; Pseudomonadota; Gammaproteobacteria. RNAcentral also lists the same sequence under 1 other name.